This 450-nucleotide ribosomal RNA is filed under the name uncultured Glomus. Its description in RNAcentral is "SSU rRNA". It matches the Rfam family "Eukaryotic small subunit ribosomal RNA", at positions 569 to 1025 of the family's 1831-position model. The record is from RNAcentral. Lineage: Eukaryota; Fungi; Glomeromycota; Glomeromycetes; Glomerales; Glomeraceae.
AGCAGCCGCGGUAAUUCCAGCUCCAAUAGCGUAUAUUAAAGUUGCUGCAGUUAAAAAGCUCGUAGUUGAAUUUCGGGACCAUCAUGUCGGUCGUGCCUCGGUACGUACUGGUAUUGUUGGUUUCUCCCUUCUGCAGAACCAUGAUGUCAUUUAUUUGGUGUUGUGGGGAAUCAGGACUGUUACUUUGAAAAAUUAGAGUGUUUAAAGCAGGCUCACGCUUGAAUACAUUAGCAUGGAAUAAUGAAAUAGGACGUUUGAUUCUAUUUUGUUGGUUUCUAGGAUCGACGUAAUGAUUAAUAGGGAUAGUUGGGGGCAUUAGUAUUCAAUUGUCAGAGGUGAAAUUCUUGGAUUUAUUGAAGACUAACUACUGCGAAAGCAUUUGCCAAGGAUGUUUUCAUUAAUCAAGAACGAAAGUUAGGGGAUCGAAGACGAUCAGAUACCGUCGUAGUC